RNAcentral lists this ribosomal RNA (1553 nucleotides) under Limosilactobacillus fermentum. RNAcentral's name for it is "bacterial SSU rRNA". It matches the Rfam family "Bacterial small subunit ribosomal RNA". Lineage: Bacteria; Bacillati; Bacillota; Bacilli; Lactobacillales; Lactobacillaceae. The record is from RNAcentral.
GUUGAUCAUGGCUCAGGAUGAAUGCCGGCGGUGUGCCUAAUACAUGCAAGUCGAACGCGUUGGCCCAAUCGAUUGAUGGUGCUUGCACCUGAUUGAUUUUGGUCGCCAACGAGUGGCGGACGGGUGAGUAACACGUAGGUAACCUGCCCAGAAGCGGGGGACAACAUUUGGAAACAGAUGCUAAUACCGCAUAACAGCGUUGUUCGCAUGAACAACGCUUAAAAGAUGGCUUCUUGCUAUCACUUCUGGAUGGACCUGCGGUGCAUUAGCUUGUUGGUGGGGUAACGGCCUACCAAGGCGAUGAUGCAUAGCCGAGUUGAGAGACUGAUCGGCCACAAUGGGACUGAGACACGGCCCAUACUCCUACGGGAGGCAGCAGUAGGGAAUCUUCCACAAUGGGCGCAAGCCUGAUGGAGCAACACCGCGUGAGUGAAGAAGGGUUUCGGCUCGUAAAGCUCUGUUGUUAAAGAAGAACACGUAUGAGAUUAACUGUUCAUACGUUGACGGUAUUUAACCAGAAAGUCACGGCUAACUACGUGCCAGCAGCCGCGGUAAUACGUAGGUGGCAAGCGUUAUCCGGAUUUAUUGGGCGUAAAGAGAGUGCAGGCGGUUUUCUAAGUCUGAUGUGAAAGCCUUCGGCUUAACCGGAGAAGUGCAUCGGAAACUGGAUAACUUGAGUGCAGAAGAGGGUAGUGGAACUCCAUGUGUAGCGGUGGAAUGCGUAGAUAUAUGGAAGAACACCAGUGGCGAAGGCGGCUACCUGGUCUGCAACUGACGCUGAGACUCGAAAGCAUGGGUAGCGAACAGGAUUAGAUACCCUGGUAGUCCAUGCCGUAAACGAUGAGUGCUAGGUGUUGGAGGGUUUCCGCCCUUUCAGUGCCGGAGCUAACGCAUUAAGCACUCCGCCUGGGGAGUACGACCGCAAGGUUGAAACUCAAAGGAAUUGACGGGGGCCCGCACAAGCGGUGGAGCAUGUGGUUUAAUUCGAAGCUACGCGAAGAACCUUACCAGGUCUUGACAUCUUGCGCCAACCCUAGAGAUAGGGCGUUUCCUUCGGGAACGCAAUGACAGGUGGUGCAUGGUCGUCGUCAGCUCGUGUCGUGAGAUGUUGGGUUAAGUCCCGCAACGAGCGCAACCCUUGUUACUAGUUGCCAGCAUUAAGUUGGGCACUCUAGUGAGACUGCCGGUGACAAACCGGAGGAAGGUGGGGACGACGUCAGAUCAUCAUGCCCCUUAUGACCCGGGCUACACACGUGCUACAAUGGACGGUACAACGAGUCGCAAACUCGCGAGGGCAAGCAAAUCUCUUAAAACCGUUCUCAGUUCGGACUGCAGGCUGCAACUCGCCUGCACGAAGUCGGAAUCGCUAGUAAUCGCGGAUCAGCAUGCCGCGGUGAAUACGUUCCCGGGCCUUGUACACACCGCCCGUCACACCAUGAGAGUUUGUAACACCCAAAGUCGGUGGGGUAACCUUUUAGGAGCCAGCCGCCUAAGGUGGGACAGAUGAUUAGGGUGAAGUCGUAACAAGGUAGCCGUAGGAGAACCUGUGGAUG